RNAcentral lists this ribosomal RNA (550 nucleotides) under uncultured bacterium. Its description in RNAcentral is "bacterial SSU rRNA". It matches the Rfam family "Bacterial small subunit ribosomal RNA", at positions 355 to 896 of the family's 1533-position model. The record is from RNAcentral.
UAGGGAAUCUUCGGCAAUGGACGGAAGUCUGACCGAGCAACGCCGCGUGAGUGAAGAAGGUUUUCGGAUCGUAAAGCUCUGUUGUUAGAGAAGAACACUGGUAGGAGUGGAAAAUCUACCAAGUGACGGUAACUAACCAGAAAGGGACGGCUAACUACGUGCCAGCAGCCGCGGUAAUACGUAGGUCCCGAGCGUUGUCCGGAUUUAUUGGGCGUAAAGCGAGCGCAGGCGGUUCUUUAAGUCUGAAGUUAAAGGCAGUGGCUUAACCAUUGUACGCUUUGGAAACUGGAGGACUUGAGUGCAGAAGGGGAGAGUGGAAUUCCAUGUGUAGCGGUGAAAUGCGUAGAUAUAUGGAGGAACACCGGUGGCGAAAGCGGCUCUCUGGUCUGUAACUGACGCUGAGGCUCGAAAGCGUGGGGAGCAAACAGGAUUAGAUACCCUGGUAGUCCACGCCGUAAACGAUGAGUGCUAGGUGUUAGGCCCUUUCCGGGGCUUAGUGCCGCAGCUAACGCAUUAAGCACUCCGCCUGGGGAGUACGACCGCAAGGUUG